This is a long non-coding RNA of Phyllostomus discolor (pale spear-nosed bat), 6060 nucleotides long. RefSeq lists it as uncharacterized. The record is from RefSeq and is a predicted model, not a curated record. The transcript has 2 exons. Lineage: Eukaryota; Metazoa; Chordata; Mammalia; Chiroptera; Phyllostomidae.
GGAUGAUCAGGAAAGAGAAGGGAGUCUCACUUGGGAAUCAACUUGCCCAAGGUCCUGGCUGCCCUAGUCCUCUGCUUCCUGAGAGGGUUACACCAGACCUGUGUGACAUUGAGCUGAUUUUCCUGGUGAAGAUGCCAACGUGUGUCCUGCCACCAAGAAUGGUCCCUGUGUACUUUGAAUUCAUAAGACCCUGGGAGCCUGGGCCUUCCUCAGGCGAGAUGAUCCAGGAGCCACUGAAUACUUGAGGCCAGGAGGGCAGGGAGCUGAGGUUAGGGGCUCCGCAGAGCCUCAGGAAGCAUUUUGGAUCCACCCCUUGACCCCACUCCCAACUCCAGCCUGUGGAAACACGCACAGAAGCACUAGGAAAGCUGUGGCUUGCAGGGCCUGCUCCUUGCUCAUCUUUUGUCACCGCUUCCCCAGGCUGUACCUCAUUUAUUGACCUCCAGGAAGACCAGGCAGAUGGGCGGAUACCAAAGGAGAUCACGCUGGGGAAGCAUUUCUGAGAGGGGGCAGCCGCCCCUGCACAUACAUGGGUAUGGGUCACCUUUAUCAAAUGUCCCUACAAUGUAAAGCCACCAGCAAGGAGACCACAGCCCUUUCUUCUGCAUCCAUCAAGCGUGAGCCAGAACCUGAGUCCCUUUUCCAAGGAGCGCAUCUGUGUCACGCCGCCACCAUUCAGCCAGCACUGUUAGCUGAUCAUCCCGAGUAUGGAGUGUGUUUGCUGGUGAGAAGCCUGGCGCUUCCUGGAAAGGUCAUUUUCCUGAGAAAGUGCCCAUUUUACCUCACUUUCCAGGGGCUCACUUCCUGACCCACAGGCUCAAGACAGCUUCAGGAGGGUAGGAACCAUGUCUACAUUCAUCAAAAUGUACCUGCACCAAUGUUGGCCCAGUGCAGCCCCAAGUAAUAUGGGUUCCUGAAUCCAUUCGGCUCCCGCCUAGUGCACUGCAAGUCAGAAUGGCUCCCUCUCUGGGGACGCUCCUGUGCUUAGGAAAUCCAGGUCCUGUGGAGGGUCUAAUUCUAGGCAGGCAUCCAUCUGCUUCUGAGAGGGUUGGGACCAGAUGACUGCCAAGAUCCCUCUAGCGUAAAGCCAGCAAUUCUAGGGAAGAUGGGGCUCUGGAGGACUGGAGAGUGAAGGGAUAACCCGAGCAUGGGGUACAGGCCAGACCGGGGGGCAUGCUUGCAGAACCAUUCCAGAUGACCAGGCUCUCAGUUCCCUCUUCAGGAAAGAAAGAAAGAUAUGAACUGAGAACACAGCUCUGAGCAGGAUCUCUCUGGGCCUAAAGCUGGCCUGUCCUUAACCCUUAGCCCUUGUGCUCCAGACCCGAGAAACUCACUCCCACAGGUCUUCUAGAGGCAGGAGGAGAGGGGAGAGGGACGCAGUGCCACGGUUGCCCAGCCUGCUUCCUGCACGUCAGAGCCUUGGGUCUGGCUACACUCACUGUCACUGUGCACAGAACCCAGGUCACUGCUGGAAGGAGAUUAGCUGGGACCUGGUUGCUGACAGCACUGUUUUAUUUAUGCUGGGCCACCAAAUCCUGGCUCUGUUGUUCUGUUGUCAAGAGCAACAGGAGGAAAGACGGAUUUUUUUUUUUCUGUGUUGGGAGCUUAUGUUUUCUCCUAUAGGAUGGGCUAUAACCAGCCCAGGGCCCCAGGGUGGAGGUUUGAUGCCCUGGGUGCCCCAGUGAGGCCUUAAAGCCCAGAUCCUGGUGGUCAGUGUGGAAAAGGUGAGCUUGGUUUUGCCCCAGGCAACCUGAGGGUGGCUGGGGUGAAGGGGGCCCUGGGAGCGGGGAGCUAUCAGCUCUUCUAGGACUGGGCUCAGCUGCCCCUUUUAGUUUUGAAUGGCUACAAAAAAUUCAUGGCAGUUGCCCAAAAGCAUACAAAAUGGAGAAAGGAAGAGGAAAAAAGGAAAGAAAACAGAAAAGGAAUGUAAGAUUAGAAGAGAAAAGAAUGCGGAGGAAAUGGGAAGAGGAGAAAGGUGUUCGUGGAGAAGUGCAGUGAUGCCAUCAGCCACGUUGGGCAUCACCUGCGAAACGAACCCUAAGUAGGGUGACCCCACAGGCAGGGAUGAAAACAAUAGGGCUUCUCUUGGCAAAGGGCUUUUGCUUCCCAUUGGGAAACAGCUGCCAUCAUGGAUGGGUGAAUGGAUGGAUGCAUGGAUGGAUGCAUGGAUGAAGAGGACAAAGAUCAGUGGGAAGGGUUUGUGAGGGAUUCAAGGAAUGAAAAGGAAGAAGAAAUCAAGUGAGGAGAGAACCCAGUGUCGGGAUGAAGGACUCUCAGUUACAAUGUUGCUGCCAAGGGGUGGCUUGGGAGAACCUUCUCCCUUCCCCUUCCAAUCUCUGUUUUAAAUAAACAUGCAAUCUGAGUGAAAAAUAGUGUUUACUAUACAAACAUCCUGGAUGAAAAUUCCCCAGCCUCUGCCUCCCCCAGCUUUACCUCCCCAGUCCUCCUGCAGGGAAUCUCCAGAGGUGCUGCUGGUCAGCUGCAAGGCAUUGUGUCUGGUUUCACCUAAUCACUCCCCAGACCAAGUGAAUUAGCCUGUGGACAGACAGGUGAGGGCCUGAAACAGGAUUAGAGGAGGCGGGGAAAAUAAGCUUCAGAUUAGUUUGAGAAUAGGAAGAGUUAAAGAGCCUUAAGCCUUCCAGUCCCUCCUACUCAGGGAUUUGGAGCAUUAAUUACUCUAACAAUAGCAAAUCAUUGAGUGGAUUGUCUCUUCUCUCCCUUCAGUAAAAAAUGUUGAGUAUAGGCUUAUUCCCAGGAAGGCUAAGUGGGAAUGGUUCCUUAGGGUCAGAGUCAAGGGUUAAGGGUCAAAGGGCAACACCCUCUAAGCCUUGAACCAAUAGUAGGGGUGGCUGGCACAGGAGUGAGCAAUGCUUCUUUCACAGAAAGUCUUUAUCAGAAACCAGAGCUGCAGAGAGGGACACUCUGAGUCAGAUUUCAACAGCUACCCUUGGUGGGGGCAGGUCAGAGGAGGUGUCAGUAGGAACUGCAGGGAAGGGGAGCCAUUCUUAGGCCUCCACUGCCCCUGGGGUCUAUUGACUCACUCAGGAAUCCCAGGGCCUCCUGGGCAGAUCCAGUCCUACAACCUGCCUGGGUGUGUUCUCCGCUAAAUCAUGGCUGUCUUUCAUGUCAAGUAACAGGGAAACACUGGCCUUUUCUCUAAAAAAGAUGCAAUGUUAUGUUCAAGCCUAUGUAAGAAAAGAGGAGGUCUGAUUCCCAAGGAAAUCUAAACCUCAUCUGAGAUCUUGGAAGGAGCCUAGCGGGAGAGGGGCUAAUCCAGGAGUAGUGGUCUUGGAGGCUCUGGCACUGAGUCCCACUGUGAGCAUUAUACAUGGGUCAAGGGUGAAGUGAAAUUCUAGGAAAAGACAUCAGCGCUGGAGAGUGAAAAGGCUUGUCAUACUACACUCCUCAAAGGGGCCUUAUGUGUUCAUUUGACCAAGGAGAAGACAAAGGUGCAGAAAUGACCCAGGAAGGCAAGGAAGUUGAAUGAGUUUCACAGAAGGGUGGAAGGCAUUCAUCUUCCCUCUCUCAGGACAGAGCUGGGGGUGCCGGGCUGAGGAGUUACAUGUUCAUUUUAAUGAUCUUCACUGUGGCCUAAAGUCUUUCAGUGCAGACUGCCACUGACUCCUGUUCUUUUUGCUCAUGGAUCCCUUCCACCAUACCUUUGGUUUCCAUGUCUAAACCUGUUUCUGCCAGGGGAGGUAGCAGUGUCUAGCUCUUUCUAACUUGCUUUCUUGACCUCAGGACUACCUUUAAAUAACUCCAUAAUUUUUUAAAAAUCAUGACUUUUACCCAUUUAUUAUUUAAAAAUUUUAACAUUUUUCUUUAUACAUGCUAUUUAUCUGUUUUUCUAGUUUAAAAAUAAAAAUAAGUUUUCUCCAGGGAUCCUGUUGUAGGAGGGGAAAAAGCACUUUGAAUGUUAAGCCCUACUGGUCUGGGGAAAAUGUUGAGUAACUUGUAUGAAUUUGACCUUGACUAUGAUCCUCAACUGAUGGUCAUCUCUAUCAGUUGAAGAUUACCUGUGGCAAUCCUAGCCCUCACCAGGGGGUAUCUAUUACUAAGAUCUGGCGGGGAGGGACUUGGAUUACUUGAGGAGGCAUAACAGCUAAGCCAGGAAUUGUAGUGUGGGACUAGAAGAUAGAAAAAAAGGUAAAGGAUGGGGAGGGAGCACUAUUUGCCCUAGAAUACUGAUGUGGUGCAGCUUACUGAAUUUGAGCUUCUGAUUUGCUGGGCCCUAAAUAGUAGAGGCUAGGCCAAGAGCAGACUGAGGAUGGAGACAGUAAAGGGAUCUCCUACGGUCAUACAACUAGUGGGCAGCGGAUUGUUCACAUUUAGGGGCAGUAUCAGUAACUCCGUAGUAUCAGUCAGGUGGGAAAAAGAGAAUUUAGUGAGGAGAUUAUUUGGUAGGGUUUGGGCAAGGUUUAGGGGAACUAACAAAGGGUGGUGUGAGACUGUAGGUUUGAUAAAACAGAGGCGGUAUUACCAUCCCAAAGUCUGAAGGGUAAAGAAUAGUGACUAGAACCCAGAGAGAGUUCCUGUAAGGAGAGAGCUGCCUGACAGGACUUGUGCCAUUUGGUGGAGAGACAAAACCGAUCCACAGUAAUUUGGAAGGGUAGGCAAAAGGGGAAUAAAUGAUCCUCUUGCCUCCCAGUUCCCUGCUGUUACCUCCUUUGCCUGAGAAGAACUGGAAACCAGAGUCAAAAGAAGCCUUGUUGAUGCGGUAUAGACAGGUCAGUCCCCGGGAUACAGGGCAGGGUGGAGGGGGGAGUGUAGAUCUGGAGGAGCAAAUGGAAGUGAUCCAGCUACCUGAGAAAAUAGGUGGUAUCUUUUUUAGUAGCCUCCACAUUUAUUCUUCUUUUUUCUACAUUGGCAUACCUGUUCCCACAUGGCUUUCAGAUGCUAGGAUUUUUCUGACGUCUCCUUAUACCCUGGAGCCCCUGGCGAAGUCAGUAGUGUCUAGUUUUUGGGUUCGCCCUCUUUUGCUACUAUUUCUUUAUCAUAAUUAGUUCUUAAGAUUUUUGCUUCUGGUCAUGACAGAGCAACAGGAACCAGAUUUACCCUCCCACUACAAACAACUAGAAAAUGAGACAAAAGUACCGAUGGCUUCAGAUACUGCACAACAGGCAGCAUAAGACUGUGAUUGCUGAGAUAAAGGAAGUGAAUUAAGUGAGCCCUAUGAUCACCCCCAUUUCUGAUUGGAGAUAAAUUCAAGACUGUCUAGCAGAGAGAGGCAUGCCACACAGAGUAAGGUUGAAAGAUAGAAAGUGAAGGUCAAAGACACCCUGGAUGGAAGUCGUAUGGUAGAGUUCUAGAAAAGAGAUCUAUGUAGAAAAAGCCCCAGAAAUCUGCACAAUAUUUCUUAGUACUAAGAUGUACACACAGAAUAAAGCUCCAUAAGGCUGGGCAAAGAAUGACUAGAAACUAUGAGAUGAAUAGUUCAUAAGGUUACAUGGAACUGAGAAAUGUUCAAAUAUCAACCAGCUUGAUACUCAGGGCAUUUAGUAGAGACCCCAUAAUGGUCAUCCCUAUCUAGUAGGAGUAAAUUAUCCCUAGAGAAAAAGAAACUUUAGACUCACUCUAACAAAGCUUAAAACAAGCCCCUAAAGGAUCAAUCUUACCCAUAAGUAACCUGACAACCAGAUAAAAGCCCAACACUCUCUGAAGGAAAAUAACAAGACACUAACAAUCAACAAUGUAACUUUGAAAAUAUCCAACAUCCAAUCAAAAAUCACUAGACUCUCCAGGUAGCAGGAAAAUGUGACUCAUAACCCAGGGAAAACUCAGUCAAUAGAAACAGACUUGAAAUUGAUGGAGUUGAGAAAAUGAGCAGAAUCAACACAGCUAUUACAAAAUAUGUGCUCAAGAAUUUAAAGAAAAACAUGACUUAAUGAGGAAACAAUGGAAGAUAUAUUUUAAAAUAAUCAAAUGGAACUUCUAGUAAUGAAAAAUAUAAUAUCUGAAAUGAAAUGUAAGUGAUAUUUAAAGCAAACUGGACAAUACAGAGAACAAACAAGUGAAAUUGAAAAUGUAGCAAAAGAAACUAUCCCAGUGAAACACGGGGAG